This 1067-nucleotide ribosomal RNA is filed under the name Escherichia coli. RNAcentral describes it as "partial 23S ribosomal RNA". It matches the Rfam family "Bacterial large subunit ribosomal RNA", at positions 373 to 1440 of the family's 2925-position model. The record is from RNAcentral. Lineage: Bacteria; Pseudomonadati; Pseudomonadota; Gammaproteobacteria; Enterobacterales; Enterobacteriaceae.
CCGUACACAAAAAUGCACAUGCUGUGAGCUCGAUGAGUAGGGCGGGACACGUGGUAUCCUGUCUGAAUAUGGGGGGACCAUCCUCCAAGGCUAAAUACUCCUGACUGACCGAUAGUGAACCAGUACCGUGAGGGAAAGGCGAAAAGAACCCCGGCGAGGGGAGUGAAAAAGAACCUGAAACCGUGUACGUACAAGCAGUGGGAGCACAGAGCAAUCUGUGUGACUGCGUACCUUUUGUAUAAUGGGUCAGCGACUUAUAUUCUGUAGCAAGGUUAACCGAAUAGGGGAGCCGAAGGGAAACCGAGUCUUAACUGGGCGUUAAGUUGCAGGGUAUAGACCCGAAACCCGGUGAUCUAGCCAUGGGCAGGUUGAAGGUUGGGUAACACUAACUGGAGGACCGAACCGACUAAUGUUGAAAAAUUAGCGGAUGACUUGUGGCUGGGGGUGAAAGGCCAAUCAAACCGGGAGAUAGCUGGUUCUCCCCGAAAGCUAUUUAGGUAGCGCCUCGUGAAUUCAUCUCCGGGGGUAGAGCACUGUUUCGGCAAGGGGGUCAUCCCGACUUACCAACCCGAUGCAAACUGCGAAUACCGGAGAAUGUUAUCACGGGAGACACACGGCGGGUGCUAACGUCCGUCGUGAAGAGGGAAACAACCCAGACCGCCAGCUAAGGUCCCAAAGUCAUGGUUAAGUGGGAAACGAUGUGGGAAGGCCCAGACAGCCAGGAUGUUGGCUUAGAAGCAGCCAUCAUUUAAAGAAAGCGUAAUAGCUCACUGGUCGAGUCGGCCUGCGCGGAAGAUGUAACGGGGCUAAACCAUGCACCGAAGCUGCGGCAGCGACGCUGAUGCGUUGUUGGGUAGGGGAGCGUUCUGUAAGCCUGUGAAGGUGUGCUGUGAGGCAUGCUGGAGGUAUCAGAAGUGCGAAUGCUGACAUAAGUAACGAUAAAGCGGGUGAAAAGCCCGCUCGCCGGAAGACCAAGGGUUCCUGUCCAACGUUAAUCGGGGCAGGGUGAGUCGACCCCUAAGGCGAGGCCGAAAGGCGUAGUCGAUGGGAAACAGGUUAAUAUUCCU